RNAcentral lists this ribosomal RNA (670 nucleotides) under Salmonella enterica. RNAcentral describes it as "partial 23S ribosomal RNA". It matches the Rfam family "Bacterial large subunit ribosomal RNA", at positions 570 to 1238 of the family's 2925-position model. Lineage: Bacteria; Pseudomonadati; Pseudomonadota; Gammaproteobacteria; Enterobacterales; Enterobacteriaceae. The record is from RNAcentral.
GCAGUGGGAGCACAGGUUUACCUGUGUGACUGCGUACCUUUUGUAUAAUGGGUCAGCGACUUAUAUUCUGUAGCAAGGUUAACCGUAUAGGGGAGCCGUAGGGAAACCGAGUCUUAAUUGGGCGUUAAGUUGCAGGGUAUAGACCCGAAACCCGGUGAUCUAGCCAUGGGCAGGUUGAAGGUUGGGUAACACUAACUGGAGGACCGAACCGACUAAUGUUGAAAAAUUAGCGGAUGACCUGUGGCUGGGGGUGAAAGGCCAAUCAAACCGGGAGAUAGCUGGUUCUCCCCGAAAGCUAUUUAGGUAGCGCCUCGUGAAUUCAUCUCCGGGGGUAGAGCACUGUUUCGGCUAGGGGGCCAUCCCGGCUUACCAACCCGAUGCAAACUGCGAAUACCGGAGAAUGUUAUCACGGGAGACACACGGCGGGUGCUAACGUCCGUCGUGAAGAGGGAAACAACCCAGACCGCCAGCUAAGGUCCCAAAGUCAUGGUUAAGUGGGAAACGAUGUGGGAAGGCCCAGACAGCCAGGAUGUUGGCUUAGAAGCAGCCAUCAUUUAAAGAAAGCGUAAUAGCUCACUGGUCGAGUCGGCCUGCGCGGAAGAUGUAACGGGGCUAAACCAUGCACCGAAGCUGCGGCAGCGACGCUUAUGCGUUGUUGGGUAGGGGAGCG